RNAcentral lists this ribosomal RNA (630 nucleotides) under Aspergillus candidus. Its description in RNAcentral is "eukaryotic LSU rRNA". It matches the Rfam family "Eukaryotic large subunit ribosomal RNA", at positions 1 to 649 of the family's 3401-position model. The record is from RNAcentral. Lineage: Eukaryota; Fungi; Ascomycota; Eurotiomycetes; Eurotiales; Aspergillaceae.
CCUCGGAUCAGGUAGGGAUACCCGCUGAACUUAAGCAUAUCAAUAAGCGGAGGAAAAGAAACCAACCGGGAUUGCCUCAGUAACGGCGAGUGAAGCGGCAAGAGCUCAAAUUUGAAAGCUGGCUCCUUCGGGGUCCGCAUUGUAAUUUGCAGAGGAUGCUUCGGGUGCGGCCCCUGUCUAAGUGCCCUGGAACGGGCCGUCAGAGAGGGUGAGAAUCCCGUCUGGGAUGGGGUGUCCGCGCCCGUGUGAAGCUCCUUCGACGAGUCGAGUUGUUUGGGAAUGCAGCUCUAAAUGGGUGGUAAAUUUCAUCUAAAGCUAAAUAUUGGCCGGAGACCGAUAGCGCACAAGUAGAGUGAUCGAAAGAUGAAAAGCACUUUGAAAAGAGAGUUAAACAGCACGUGAAAUUGUUGAAAGGGAAGCGCUUGCGACCAGACUCGCCCGCGGGGUUCAGCCGGCAUUCGUGCCGGUGUACUUCCCCGUGGGCGGGCCAGCGUCGGUUUGGGCGGCCGGUCAGCGGCUCCCGGAAUGUAGCGCCUCUCGGGGCGCCUUAUAGCCGGGGGUGCAGUGCGGCCAGCCUGGACCGAGGAACGCGCUUCGGCACGGACGCUGGCAUAAUGGUCGUAAACGACC